RNAcentral lists this unclassified non-coding RNA (296 nucleotides) under fungal sp. RNAcentral's name for it is "partial internal transcribed spacer region". The stretch from base 1 to 46 matches the Rfam family "Eukaryotic small subunit ribosomal RNA", at positions 1786 to 1831 of the family's 1831-position model. Lineage: Eukaryota; Fungi. The record is from RNAcentral.
AAGUCGUAACAAGGUUUCCGUAGGUGAACCUGCGGAAGGAUCAUUAAAAAUUGAGGAAUUUACCGUGUGAAGAGGUUGUGGUGGAGAGGGGGGAUGGUUGAAUGGUUGGUUUGUGAUUGUGAUUGAUGUGUUAAUUUAUGUUACUUUGUAAUUUAUAUUUAACUCGUCUUUUAUUAUAAUUCAAUCUGUCAACGUCAAUCGUCUCAAUCAUUUCAUUCUAAUCUAUCCAAUCAUAUAUACUAUUCGUCAAAUCAUAAAAAUAAUAAUAAUUUGCGGCAAUGGAUCUCUAGGCUCUU